This 1023-nucleotide long non-coding RNA is filed under the name Sinocyclocheilus grahami. RNAcentral's name for it is "lncRNA (ENSSGRG00000020318.1)". The record is from RNAcentral. Lineage: Eukaryota; Metazoa; Chordata; Actinopteri; Cypriniformes; Cyprinidae.
UCUAUAUGUGGAUUCGUUUUAAUAAGAGCUCCAAACUCAAUUCCCCUCUUUAUUUUCUUCAGUACUGACCAGGAAAAACAGCCCAGGUGUGAAUCGUCUGCAGGCACAUCCUCCCUGGUGGCUGCCCCUGGCGUCAGUGUCUGGGUUUGUGUUACUAAUUGGAACCGUGUUUUUGGGGAGGAAGGCUUGCAGAUCAACCCAAAGAGAAAACAACUCAAAGUAAGUCAUUGUCAGUUCCCAGAGAGAUAUAACAGCUUGUAGGGUAUUUUUCUGGCUUCAUGUUGUGCUUCAUUUUCUACUAGGCAAAAAAUAGAAGAGGUUAAAACCAACCCUGACAAUGAAGACAAGAGAAUGGCAUACAAGGUGGAAUACAGCUCUAUGCCUGAUCUGGCAGAUGUGAAAAGUCCUCCCAGCAGUCCAGACAACAUCUAUGUUACCAUGCAUGGUUUCCCAUUUGCAGCAGAUGCUCCUGUCACAGCUGGACGCAGCAGACGUCUUCCCUCUGACUGGCAGCCAAAGGAUGAGGAUCCCAUAUAUGUCCGCUGCCACCAAGAUUUAUCAAUCAGAUCAUGUCGCUUAAAAGAUGAGACACAAAAUAACUGAUUAUUUAAAUGAAUGAGAGUAAAAGUCAUCUGUAUUGUCAGAUACAUAUAAUAUAGUCCCCAACAGGCCUGUUUGAAUUUUUUGUUUCUUCAGUACUCACCGACUGAGUAUACAUUAUCCCUCAUAAUAAAUCUGUUUUCAUCUGUCUAAAUAUGCAUGCAGUUUAAUGUCAUUUUGAUUAUGUAGCUUUCUUUUUGUCCACAUGCACCUCUUCCAUCAUCUGCGAGGUGUCAACGGUGGUCAGUUACUGCACUUCAUUGUGAGCUUCUCCUCUUUAUCUUCUCAAUGACUUCUCAUCAGCAUGAAAUUGCCACUUCUUCUAACAGACCCACUGUCUCUGUUUCCGAGGCAAACACAUUUUUUCCUGAAGUCCUAAUAGUGGAGAAGUGAUGCUCUGCCCUUUGAGAUUUGAGGAACCAC